AACGAACGCUGGCGGCGCGUUUUAAGCAUGCAAGUCGAGCGGCAAGGGUCUUCGGGCCCCUAGAGCGGCGGACGGGUGAGUAACACGUGGACAAUCUGCCCCCCGGCCGGGGAUAGCCCAGGGAAACCUGGAUUAAUACCGGAUGAGACGGGACCCGCGGAGGCGGGAUCCGGGAAAGGCGCUGCGGCGCCGCCGGGGGAUGAGUCUGCGUCCCAUUAGCUUGACGGCGGGGUAACGGCCCACCGUGGCGACGAUGGGUAGCCGGCCUGAGAGGGUGGACGGCCACAUUGGAACUGAGACACGGUCCAGACUCCUACGGGAGGCAGCAGCUAAGAAUCUUCCGCAAUGGGCGAAAGCCUGACGGAGCGACGCCGCGUGAACGAAGAAGGCCGUGAGGUUGUAAAGUUCUUUUCGGGAGGGGGAACAACCGUGGCAGGGAAUGGCCGCGGGAUGACGUGAAUCCCGGAAUAAGCCCCGGCUAACUACGUGCCAGCAGCCGCGGUAACACGUAGGGGGCGAGCGUUGUUCGGAAUCAUUGGGCGUAAAGGGCGUGCAGGCGGUCCUGCAAGUCCGGCGUGA
Molecule: ribosomal RNA, 579 nt
Filed under: uncultured Sphaerochaeta sp.
Lineage: Bacteria; Pseudomonadati; Spirochaetota; Spirochaetia; Spirochaetales; Sphaerochaetaceae
Description: bacterial SSU rRNA
Rfam family: Bacterial small subunit ribosomal RNA
Source: RNAcentral